Molecule: ribosomal RNA, 279 nt
Filed under: uncultured bacterium
Lineage: Bacteria
Description: partial 16S ribosomal RNA
Rfam family: Bacterial small subunit ribosomal RNA
Source: RNAcentral
UGCCAGCCGCCGCGGUAAUACAGAGGGUGCAAGCGUUAAUCGGAAUUACUGGGCGUAAAGCGAGCGUAGGCGGUUGACUCAGUUGGAUGUGAAAGCCCCGGGCUCAACCUGGGAACUGCAUUCAAUACUGGUCGACUAGAGUACGGUAGAGGGUAGUGGAAUUUCUGGUGUAGCGGUGAAAUGCGUAGAUAUCAGAAGGAACACCGGUGGCGAAGGCGGCUACCUGGACCGAUACUGACGCUGAGGCACGAAAGCGUGGGGAGCAAACAGGAUUAGAUA